GUUCCCAUUCCGAACACGGCCGUGAAACGCCCCAGCGCCGAUGGUACUUCGUCUUAAGACGCGGGAGAGUAGGUCGCUGCCAGGU
RNAcentral lists this ribosomal RNA (85 nucleotides) under Ensifer sp. Root558. Lineage: Bacteria; Pseudomonadati; Pseudomonadota; Alphaproteobacteria; Hyphomicrobiales; Rhizobiaceae. The record is from RNAcentral.